Molecule: non-coding RNA, 73 nt
Organism: Dipodomys ordii (Ord's kangaroo rat)
Lineage: Eukaryota; Metazoa; Chordata; Mammalia; Rodentia; Heteromyidae
Source: Rfam
GGGGAGGUGGCUCAGUGGUAGAGCGCUUGCCUUGCACGCAUGAGGUCCUGGGUUCAAUUCCUCAGCAUCACAU